Molecule: small RNA, 484 nt
Filed under: Pan troglodytes (chimpanzee)
Lineage: Eukaryota; Metazoa; Chordata; Mammalia; Primates; Hominidae
Description: retained intron
Source: RNAcentral
UUAUUGUAGCGGCUCAUGCAUUUCGUCACAUGUUCCAACACCAAACACAGGGACUUUGUAUUAAGCUUUCUCUGUGGGCCCCGUUGGAAUUCCCGGUCCCAGAUCUGCCAACCAAGAGAGCUUCAAAUUAGGGCUGGCCUUACUGACUUUUUUUCUUCUCCAGCUCAGCCAGACGUCCAGGAUCCCACCCCUUGCAAAAGACCACGCCGUGGAAGCCAUGUUCCCACCAGCCAGGGGGAAGGAGCUGCUCUCAUUUGAGGAUGUGGCGAUGUACUUCACCAGAGAGGAGUGGGGCCACCUCAACUGGGGUCAGAAGGACCUCUACCGAGAUGUGAUGUUGGAGAACUACAGGAACAUGGUCUUGCUGGGUAGGACACGGCUUGAAGAUUGGGCUUUGUCUGUGUUCUGAGUGUCUGUGCAAGCCCUUAGUCCCUUAUCUGCAAUUCCAGAAUCAGAAAAAGCGGUGAAAACCGAAAGUUUUUUU